AGAGUUUGAUCAUGGCUCAGAUUGAACGCUGGCGGCAGGCCUAACACAUGCAAGUCGAACGGUAACAGGAAGAAGCUUGCUUCUUUGCUGACGAGUGGCGGACGGGUGAGUAAUGUCUGGGAAACUGCCUGAUGGAGGGGGAUAACUACUGGAAACGGUAGCUAAUACCGCAUAACGUCGCAAGACCAAAGAGGGGGACCUUCGGGCCUCUUGCCAUCGGAUGUGCCCAGAUGGGAUUAGCUAGUAGGUGGGGUAACGGCUCACCUAGGCGACGAUCCCUAGCUGGUCUGAGAGGAUGACCAGCCACACUGGAACUGAGACACGGUCCAGACUCCUACGGGAGGCAGCAGUGGGGAAUAUUGCACAAUGGGCGCAAGCCUGAUGCAGCCAUGCCGCGUGUAUGAAGAAGGCCUUCGGGUUGUAAAGUACUUUCAGCGGGGAGGAAGGGAGUAAAGUUAAUACCUUUGCUCAUUGACGUUACCCGCAGAAGAAGCACCGGCUAACUCCGUGCCAGCAGCCGCGGUAAUACGGAGGGUGCAAGCGUUAAUCGGAAUUACUGGGCGUAAAGCGCACGCAGGCGGUUUGUUAAGUCAGAUGUGAAAUCCCCGGGCUCAACCUGGGAACUGCAUCUGAUACUGGCAAGCUUGAGUCUCGUAGAGGGGGGUAGAAUUCCAGGUGUAGCGGUGAAAUGCGUAGAGAUCUGGAGGAAUACCGGUGGCGAAGGCGGCCCCCUGGACGAAGACUGACGCUCAGGUGCGAAAGCGUGGGGCGCAAACAGGAUUAGAUACCCUGGUAGUCCACGCCGUAAACGAUGUCGACUUGGAGGUUGUGCCCUUGAGGCGUGGCUUCCGGAGCUAACGCGUUAAGUCGACCGCCUGGGGAGUACGGCCGCAAGGUUAAAACUCAAAUGAAUUGACGGGGGCCCGCACAAGCGGUGGAGCAUGUGGUUUAAUUCGAUGCAACGCGAAGAACCUUACCUGGUCUUGACAUCCAC
Molecule: ribosomal RNA, 994 nt
Filed under: Escherichia coli M11
Lineage: Bacteria; Pseudomonadati; Pseudomonadota; Gammaproteobacteria; Enterobacterales; Enterobacteriaceae
Description: bacterial SSU rRNA
Rfam family: Bacterial small subunit ribosomal RNA
Source: RNAcentral